GAUGAACGCUGGCGGCGUGCCUAAUACAUGCAAGUCGAGCGAACGGACGAGAAGCUUGCUUCUCUGAUGUUAGCGGCGGACGGGUGAGUAACACGUGUAUAACCUACCUAUAAGACUGGGAUAACUUCGGGAAACCGGAGCUAAUACCGGAUAAUAUUUUGAACCGCAUGGUUCAAAAGUGAAAGACGGUCUUUCUGUCACUUCUAGAUGGAUCCGCGCUGCAUUAGCUAGUUGGUAAGGUAACGGCCUACCAAGGCAACGAUGCAUAGCCGACCUGAGAGGGGGAUCGGCCACACUGGAACUGAGACACGGUCCAGACUCCUACGGGAGGCAGCAGUAGGGAAUCUUCCGCAAUGGGCGAAAGCCUGACGGAGCAACGCCGCGUGAGUGAUGAAGGUCUUCGGAUCGUAAAACUCUGUUAUUAGGGAAGAACAUAUGUGUAAGUAACUGUGCACAUCUUGACGGUACCUAAUCAGAAAGCAACGGCUAACUACGUG
Molecule: ribosomal RNA, 497 nt
Filed under: uncultured bacterium
Lineage: Bacteria
Description: partial 16S ribosomal RNA
Rfam family: Bacterial small subunit ribosomal RNA
Source: RNAcentral